AGUGAACGCUGGCGGUAGGCCUAACACAUGCAAGUCGAACGGCAGCACAGUAAGAGCUUGCUCUUACGGGUGGCGAGUGGCGGACGGGUGAGGUAUACAUCGGAAUCUACUUUUUCGUGGGGGUUAACGUAGGGAAACUUACGCUAAUACCGCAUACGACCUACGGGUGAAAGCAGGGGAUCUUCGGACCUUGCGCGAUUGAAUGAGCCGAUGUCGGCUUAGCUAGUUGGCGGGGUAAAGGCCAACCAAGGCGAGGAUCCGUAGCUGGUCUGAGAGGAUGAUCGGCCACACUGGAACUGAGACACGGUCCAGACUCCUACGGUAGGCAGCAGAGGGGAAUAUUGGACAAUGGGCGCAAGCCUGAUCCAGCCAUACCGCGUGGGUGGAGAAGGCCUUGGGGUCGUAAAGCCCUUUUGUUGGGAAAGAAAAGCAGCAGGUUAAUACCCCGCUGUUCUGACGGUACCCAAAGAAUAAGCACCGGCUAACUUCGUG
RNAcentral lists this ribosomal RNA (492 nucleotides) under uncultured bacterium. Its description in RNAcentral is "partial 16S ribosomal RNA". It matches the Rfam family "Bacterial small subunit ribosomal RNA", at positions 29 to 507 of the family's 1533-position model. The record is from RNAcentral.